AACGAACGCUGGCGGCAUGCCUAACACAUGCAAGUCGAACGAGACCUUCGGGUCUAGUGGCGCACGGGUGCGUAACGCGUCGGAACCUGCCCUUAGGUUCGGAAUAACUCCCCGAAAGGGGUGCUAAUACCGGAUAAUGUCUUCGGACCAAAGAUUUAUCGCCUUUGGAUGGGCCCGCGUUGGAUUAGCUAGUUGGUAGGGUAAAAGCCUACCAAGGCGACGAUCCAUAGCUGGUCUGAGAGGAUGAUCAGCCACACUGGGACUGAGACACGGCCCAGACUCCUACGGGAGGCAGCAGUGGGGAAUAUUGGACAAUGGGCGAAAGCCUGAUCCAGCAAUGCCGCGUGAGUGAUGAAGGCCUUAGGGUUGUAAAGCUCUUUUACCCGGGAUGAUAAUGACAGUACCGGGAGAAUAAGCGCCGGCUAACUCCGUG
This 433-nucleotide ribosomal RNA is filed under the name uncultured bacterium. RNAcentral's name for it is "partial 16S ribosomal RNA". It matches the Rfam family "Bacterial small subunit ribosomal RNA", at positions 29 to 507 of the family's 1533-position model. The record is from RNAcentral.